This 253-nucleotide ribosomal RNA is filed under the name uncultured bacterium. Its description in RNAcentral is "partial 16S ribosomal RNA". It matches the Rfam family "Bacterial small subunit ribosomal RNA", at positions 524 to 776 of the family's 1533-position model. The record is from RNAcentral.
UACGAAGGGUGCAAGCGUUACUCGGAAUCACUGGGCGUAAAGCGCACGUAGGCGGACUUACAGGUCAAUUGUGAAAUACCUGAGCUCAACUCAGGAACUGCAGUUGAAACCGUUUGUCUUGAAUACCUGAGAGGGUGGGGGAAUACCUGGUGGAGAAGUGAAAUUCGUAGAGAUCAGGUGGAACACCGGAGGCGAAGGCGCCUGCCUGGCAGUGUAUUGACGCUGAGGUGCGAAAGUGCGGGGAGCAAACAGG